Non-coding RNA from Triticum aestivum (bread wheat), 115 nucleotides. Lineage: Eukaryota; Viridiplantae; Streptophyta; Magnoliopsida; Poales; Poaceae. The record is from Rfam.
CAAGUACUCCCUCCGUCCGGAAUUACUUGUCAUCAAAAUGGAAGUGUCUAGAACUAAAAUACAUCUAGAUACAUCCAUUUCAAUGACAAGUAUUUUCGGACGGAGGGAGUACAAG